GUGUAGUAUAAAUAAUUUUACNUUGAAACUGCGAAUGGCUCAUUAUAUCAGUUAUAGUUUAUUAGAAAUAUUUUACUACUUGGAUAACCGUAGUAAUUCUAGGGCUAAUACAUGAGUAAAACCUCAACUUCGGAAGAGGUGUGUUUAUUAGUAUGAAAACCAUAUAUCUUCGGAUAUAAUAGUGAGUAAUAAUAACCUUUCAUAUCGUAUGUCGUAAGAUAACGAUAGUUCUUUCAAGUUUCUGCCCUAUCAGCUUUCGAUGGUAGUAUAUGGGACUACCAUGGCAGUAACGGGUAACGAAGAAUUUGGGUUCGAUUUCGGAGAGGGAGCCUGAGAGAUGGCUACCACAUCCAAGGAAGGCAGCAGGCGCGUAAAUUACCCAAUCCUGACAUAGGGAGGUAGUGACAAUAAAUCACAAUGCGGAACUUUUAGUUUUGCAAUUGGAUUGAGAACAAUGUACAAAUGUUAUCGAUAAACAAUUGGAGGGCAAGUCUG
RNAcentral lists this ribosomal RNA (495 nucleotides) under Blastocystis sp. RNAcentral's name for it is "SSU rRNA". It matches the Rfam family "Eukaryotic small subunit ribosomal RNA", at positions 57 to 563 of the family's 1831-position model. The record is from RNAcentral. Lineage: Eukaryota; Bigyra; Opalinata; Blastocystidae.